GACGAACGCCGGCGGCGUGCCUAAUACAUGCAAGUCGAGCGAAUGGAUUAAGAGCUUGCUCUUAUGAAGUUAGCGGCGGACGGGUGAGUAACACGUGGGUAACCUGCCCAUAAGACUGGGAUAACACCGGGAAACCGGGGCUAAUACCGGAUAACAUUUUGAACCGCAUGGUUCGAAAUUGAAAGGCGGCUUCGGCUGUCACUUAUGGAUGGACCCGCGUCGCAUCAGCUAGUUGGUGAGGUAACGGCUCACCAAGGCAACGAUGCGUAGUCGGCCUGAGAGAGUGAUCGGCCACACUGGGACUGAGACACGGCCCAGACUCCUACGGGAGGCAGCAGUAGGGAAUCUUCCGAAAUGGACGAAAGUCUGACGGAGCAACGCCGCGUGAGUGAUGAAGGCUUUCGGGUCGUAAAACUCUGUUGUUAGGGAAGAACAAGUGCUAGUUGAAUAAGCUGGCACCUUGACGGUACCUAACCAGAAAGCCACGGCUAACUACGUGCCAGCCGCCGCAGUAA
This 515-nucleotide ribosomal RNA is filed under the name uncultured bacterium. Its description in RNAcentral is "partial 16S ribosomal RNA". It matches the Rfam family "Bacterial small subunit ribosomal RNA", at positions 28 to 523 of the family's 1533-position model. The record is from RNAcentral.